Molecule: ribosomal RNA, 918 nt
Filed under: uncultured Mycoplasma sp.
Lineage: Bacteria; Bacillati; Mycoplasmatota; Mollicutes; Mycoplasmatales; Mycoplasmataceae
Description: bacterial SSU rRNA
Source: RNAcentral
ACUUAGCGGCGAAUGGGUGAGUAACACGUACUUAACGUACCUUCUAGAUUGGGAUAACGCUGAGAAAUUAGCGCUAAUACCGGAUACUUAUAAGAAACGCAUGUUUCUUAUAUAAAAGGAGCCYUCAAGCUCCACUAGAAGAUCGGGGUGCGGAACAUUAGCUAGUUGGUAAGGUAAUGGCUUACCAAGGCUAUGAUGUUUAACGGGGUUGAGAGACUGAUCCGUCACACUGGGACUGAGAUACGGCCCAGACUCCUACGGGAGGCAGCAGUAGGGAAUUUUCCACAAUGGGCGAAAGCCUGAUGGAGCGACACAGCGUGCAGGAUGAAGGCCUUCGGGUUGUAAACUGCUGUUAUUUAGGAUGAAAAAAUAGUAGAGGAAAUGCUAUUAUCUUGACAGUACUAAAUCAGAAAGCAACGGCUAACUAUGUGCCAGCAGCCGCGGUAAUACAUAGGUUGCAAGCGUUAUCCGGAAUUAUUGGGCGUAAAGCGUCUGUAGGUUGUUAGUUAAGUCUGGCGUCAAAACUUGGGGCUCAACCCCAAAUCGCGUUGGAUACUGGCUAACUAGAAUUGUGUAGAGGUUAACGGAAUUCCUUGUGAAGCGGUGAAAUGCGUAGAUAUAAGGAAGAACAUCAACUUGGCGAAGGCAGUUAACUGGGCACAUAUUGACACUGAGAGACGAAAGCGUGGGGAGCAAACAGGAUUAGAUACCCUGGUAGUCCACGCCGUAAACGAUGAUGAUUAGCUGAUGGGRACCAUCGGCGCAGCUAACGCAUUAAAUCAUCCGCCUGAGUAGUAUGCUCGCAAGAGUGAAACUUAAAGGAAUUGACGGGGAUCCGCACAAGCGGUGGAGCAUGUGGUUUAAUUUGAAGAUACGCGUAGAACCUUACCCACUCUUGACAUCUUCUGCAAAGCUAUA